This is a long non-coding RNA of Lolium rigidum, 431 nucleotides long. RefSeq lists it as uncharacterized. The record is from RefSeq and is a predicted model, not a curated record. The transcript has 4 exons. NCBI's taxonomy places the organism in Eukaryota, Viridiplantae, Streptophyta, Magnoliopsida, Poales, Poaceae.
GGCGGCGGCGCAGUGCCGACGAUGAAGGAGAUAGGAUGGAGCUAACCGUGGCCAAAGACAGGAAACAGCGUCAGGUGAGUCGGCAACAACCCAGUGCAAGUGGAGGUGAUGGGGGCGACCGCCAGAUCGUAGGUGGAUGCCUUAGAUCAAACAGAGUUGUGCUUCUCCCUGUCCGCACCAUACUUCAUCUCAGAUCGAACUUGGACAGCCAGAUUUGAGGUUGGAAGAGCUGGCGGAACCUGAGGCUAAGAUUUUUUUCGGUUCUAGAGUUGAUUAUGUUCAUUUAUAUCAAAUGGUCAAGCAAAAUAGUCCAUCUGCUGACAGAAAUUGUAUUUGGUCGGAAUCAUCACAAUACUUUGAAGCAGAUACGGCAAGCUCAAAGCCACCCAUUGUAAGGGUACUGUAGAGAAGCUAUCAAGGCAUGAUCUAGG